This is a long non-coding RNA of Chiroxiphia lanceolata (lance-tailed manakin), 447 nucleotides long. RefSeq lists it as uncharacterized. The record is from RefSeq and is a predicted model, not a curated record. Lineage: Eukaryota; Metazoa; Chordata; Aves; Passeriformes; Pipridae. The transcript has 2 exons.
AUGCAAAAACCAAACCCCAACUCCAAGUACCAGCCUGGCCCCGGAUCACAGCAGCUGCUGCAGAGGAGUCCAGCAGUUCUGGGUUGCUUUACAUCAGCUCAGGGCAGGGACAGGAGAGGAAGCCAGAGCCUCAUGUUGGAAAGGAAUGAAGUCAAGUACUUGGUACAUUCACAUCAUCAUCGAGGAAAAACCACAAUGCCAAGGGUUUGGGAAGGGACUGAGCUGUAACAGCACCAGUCAGACACAGACAAGGGGAGGAAAUCAGGACACCCAGGCUCUGCUCAAACAGCUGGGAGUCUGCAGUGCAGAAGCACAGUCAGCCCCUCAGGUUUGGAUUUUCCAUCUCCGUCCAUCCCGAGAGCAACCAGCUGGCAGAGCCACCUCUGGCAAGAGCAAACACCAGAUCCUCCUGGAUUUGUGUGCAAUAAAAUGGACAGCAGCCUCAAA